Spodoptera frugiperda (fall armyworm) is the source of this 3528-nucleotide RNA transcript. It is a transcript of the gene named iroquois-class homeodomain protein IRX-5, with no coding region annotated. The record is from RefSeq and is a predicted model, not a curated record. NCBI's taxonomy places the organism in Eukaryota, Metazoa, Arthropoda, Insecta, Lepidoptera, Noctuidae. The transcript has 8 exons.
GCGGCGCUGUAGCUUCCCGCCGUCCCCCGUUCGACAGUCGCGCUCUGUUCGGUUUGCUGUGCGUAGUUGAGCUCAAUUAUUUUCGUUUUCUGUUUUUAAAGUGAUAUUGCCAGAGUUAUUUCUAUACCAGGACGAAUUUGUUAUUUUAUACUAGUGACUGAGUGUGAAAAGAAGUGUUCGCAUGGAUUGAGUGAGCAACGAUGUUACCUCCCACGGCCGGUCUAUCACAAGAACAACGCGACCGGCCCGACAUGGCGUACCAGCAACGUCAGGACGUGCGAGAGCUAACCAGAGAAAUCAUCAGAAGCGCUCGAGUUGCAAACAGAACACAUUCAACAUCCCCUGGAGUUCGAGACCGUUUCCCGUCAACAUCGUCAACGGACGACAAUGAGAGCGGUACAGAUGGAGAGGCAGACAGAUCUCGUCGCGUCAGCCUCAUGCACGGAGGAGUGCCGACACCUCCUCCCGGCAUCGUGUCCAUCCGCAAGCGACGAGGGAACCUCGCGAAACAUUCUGUCAAGAUUCUCAAGAAGUGGUUGUACGACCACCGGUACAAUGCGUACCCUAAUGACGCUGAGAAGAUAGCGCUAAGUCAAGAAGCUAACUUGACUGUAUUGCAGGUAUGCAAUUGGUUCAUAAACGCUCGUCGGCGUAUCCUGCCGGAGAUGAUCCGCCGCGAGGGCCACGACCCGCUGCACUACACGAUCUCGCGGCGCGGCCGCAAGCAGCCGGGCGGCUCCAGCUCGAACGCCAACAGCGCCGGCGUCGUCGUCGCCUCCUGGGACGGGGUCGAAGUUGAGAACGACGCAGACCGCAGCGCCGAGCAGGAGUACAGCGACGGGCUACUUGUAUACCGGAGCGACGGAGACGACAUCGGAGACGGAGAGGAGGGAUACUCAUCUAGCGCUGUCUCAGAGGAGGAGGUCAAAUACGACCCCUCCGUCUGGCAGUCCGUCAUACGGUACGGACCAGAGGACCGGGAACUACACCCCGCCGCCCGAGGGCGUACGGCGGGCGUGGUGUCGGUUCGUACGGAGACGGAGGAGGGCGCGGAGGGCGGCGGCGGCGCGGGCGCGGGCGCGGCGCCGGCGGACUCGGCCAGCGCCGACGCCGCGCCGCCCGGCGGCUGGCACCCGCAGCUCGCGCACCUGCCGCAGCUGCCGCAUCCGCUGCGGCGCCGACUACAGGUGGUGCCUACGAACGUGAGCAGUGAAGGCGAGCGGGACAAGUUCAAGUGUCUGUACCUGCUCGUCGAGACCGCCGUCGCAGUGCGCCAGAGGGAGAAGGAAGCGGAGGAGGUUCCCGUCUAGUGACCGAGGUAUCGGUAUGGAGUGGACUCGGCAGCACCGCCAACGGAAUUGCAUUUAAUCGACAUCGUCAUAUCAGCCAGUUUAUUUAAAUUAAAUGUGGUCACACGUAUCUCAACAUUUAAAUCGGUACAGGCCUGGACGAAAACCUUCGACAUUUUUUAUUGAAUUAGAUAGCAACAUGUCGCAAUAUUAUUAUACACUUUAUCACAGUGAAGCUACCCUCUCCAUACAGAAGUGUAAUGCCCUGAAAUAGUUCCUCUAUUAACGCAAUAUUCAUUCAUAUUGAAUGUCAUGUCCCCAGUUGUAUGCCGUUCAGGAUAUACCUCCACUGUGUUCGCCCGUUCCUCACGUUUUACGCCAAGUUCGUAGGACCAGUAAUCGACUGUAUGGAGUUGUAGAUUUCUAUAAUUAUAUUCGUACACUUAAACUCAUGUCCUUGUAUAUAGUUUGUACACAUACAUAGUGUAUGUUAGGUCUAAAGUUUUGUAGCUUCUAGUUAAAUGUUAGUGCCAAUGAGGCAAGUCUAUAUUGUAACAUCUCAGGAUAAUUUCGAUGAUAAUUUAUUUUAGGGUGAAACCACAAAAUAUAGUCGAGCAAGUAUCAUAGAGGUUGAAAUGUAGCAUUAGAGUUAUCAGCACUGAUUGCGGGAUUCACCCUGUAUGCGUAAAUAAAUUGUCAAGAUAAAUUAUCCCAGUUAUUAUGUUAUUUUUCUAUCGAUACUUAUGAUAUAUUUAUCAACUUAACCGAUUCGUUGCGGAUGGCACGACAGACGUGCCAUCCAUUUUUUACAUAUGGCGUAUGACACGCGUUUCGUGUCAUUUUUAAAUGACACGAAACGCGUUUGACCGUUGACUUUCGAUUUUGGAAGUCGACUGAAUACAAUUCAAGGGUAAACAAGAAAAAAGAACAUUUUAUUCUGUACAUGGCUGAUGGCACAAUAGGCGUGUCAUCAACUGAUAUGGCGCUUGACACGACUGUCGUGUCACGAAAUAUUUGUUCGUCGCCACGCAUAAAAGUGCACCAAAAUGGGCGUCGCAACGAAUCGGUUAAGCAAAAGCUUUAACAGGGAGUUGAAACAUAUUAUUAUAAUCGAUAUUUUUCUUAUAAUAAGAUAUAUACUAGAUAGCGAAGCUAUUGUAUUUACGUACGAGUACGUGAGUGUACACUGACAGUUAGGUAUUACCUGUGAGCUAGCUAUCUAGUAUGUUCUGUAUGUAUCCUGCACAUAAAAAAUCGUUUUCAACGUAACAGCAUUAUAAAUUAAUUUACAAUUAUGUUUGAAUAUCCAGCUCAGAACUCCACUACACUUCAAGACGUUCAUAUCAUUUCUCUAUCUGUCCUCAUAAGUCACAUGGGACGGUGAUAUUCCUCAAUUAAUUUAAAAUUAUUAAAGUUUCCUAUAAAAGUAUUUCAAGUGUAGUGGAGUUCUAUGUAAAAUUGUAUUUAUUUAUUGGUUGUGAGUUUGGGGCGUCGCUGUGUGAAUCAUAUUGUUUUUCUAAGGCCUAUUUUGUAAUUUCUUUUGAUGGACAUAUUGAACUAAACAGACAUGAUGUUUGAGAAUGUUUUUAAACAUUUUUCAGUUAGUAUUGUAAAAGGACGUCUUUUCGUUAGUGUAAUACGUUAUAGUUUGCUCUAAAACAAGCCUGUUUCUAAGACUUGCUUUAGAUCAAAUAAUAUGUUGCUUUAAUAUGUCUAUUAAAGUGUGAUGUUACGGCUUCAAUAGCUGGCGACGAAUUCAAUGUAAAAGGAUAAGAAAUCUUAUGUUAAAUAAUUUGAUUGAUCAUUGAUUUAUUUACCAAGCAAGCCCGAAUGACGAUUGUCCUUCGAGAUGUAAUCAUUAUGCUGAUAACUCGCUGUUACACAUGUAAAAAGUACCUCGUAAUUUUAAUAAUUUACGACAUUAAAUAUUUGUUCUGCAAUUUACCUUCCUCAAUGUUAUGAGAAUUCAUUAGUUUAAUAUGUUACUAUGAUACCUGUUAUGGUACCCGUCGGCCAGCCUGAUGCACUUAACGUUAGCAGUCAAUGUUAAUUAGCUCUUAAGUCGUUUGUUUUAAGGUGACUUUUCGUUUUAACUCUUUUAAAUGUAAGUAGGGUGUCAUUUUCGUUUCUUAAUUUACCUGAGUACAAUAACUUAGAACUUAGUAUUUUUCGUUCAUGUAAAUACUCCUGUGUAAGAUGCGUAAUCUGUUAGUGAAUAAAGUAAAAGAUUUCAAAAAUA